RNAcentral lists this ribosomal RNA (305 nucleotides) under uncultured bacterium. RNAcentral's name for it is "bacterial SSU rRNA". It matches the Rfam family "Bacterial small subunit ribosomal RNA", at positions 339 to 655 of the family's 1533-position model. The record is from RNAcentral.
CUACGGGAGGCAGCAGUCGAGAAUCAUUCACAAUGGGGGAAACCCUGAUGGUGCGACGCCGCGUGGGGGAAUGAAGGUCUUCGGAUUGUAAACCCCUGUCAUGUGGGAGCAAAUUAAAAAGAUAGUACCACAAGAGGAAGAGACGGCUAACUCUGUGCCAGCAGCCGCGGUAAUACAGAGGUCUCAAGCGUUGUUCGGAAUCACUGGGCGUAAAGCGUGCGUAGGCUGUUUCGUAAGUCGUGUGUGAAAGUCGCGGGCUCAACCCGCGGACGGCACAUGAUACUGCGAGACUAGAGUAAUGGAGG